This 1832-nucleotide ribosomal RNA is filed under the name Campylobacter jejuni. Its description in RNAcentral is "partial 23S ribosomal RNA". It matches the Rfam family "Bacterial large subunit ribosomal RNA", at positions 1029 to 2925 of the family's 2925-position model. Lineage: Bacteria; Pseudomonadati; Campylobacterota; Epsilonproteobacteria; Campylobacterales; Campylobacteraceae. The record is from RNAcentral.
UUAGAAUAUGAGAAACUAAGUUAUAUUUUUACUGAUUUUUAUAGAGUAAAGAUAGAAAUAAAACUUAGUAAAAUCAGUAAAAAUAUUCUUAGGCUAAAGUUAAGUAGUUUAAGUUGUGUGCAAGUGGUAGGAGAGCGUUCUAUUUGCGUCGAAGGUAUACCGGUAAGGAGUGCUGGAGCGAAUAGAAGUGAGCAUGCAGGCAUGAGUAGCGAUAAUUAAUGUGAGAAUCAUUAACGCCGUAAACCCAAGGUUUCCUACGCGAUGCUCGUCAUCGUAGGGUUAGUCGGGUCCUAAGUCGAGUCCGAAAGGGGUAGACGAUGGCAAAUUGGUUAAUAUUCCAAUACCAACAUUAGUGUGCGAUGGAAGGACGCUUAGGGCUAAGGGGGCUAGCGGAUGGAAGUGCUAGUCUAAGGUCGUAGGAGGUUAUACAGGCAAAUCCGUAUAACAAUACUCCGAGAACUGAAAGGCUUUUUGAAGUCUUCGGAUGGAUAGAAGAACCCCUGAUGCCGUCGAGCCAAGAAAAGUUUCUAAGUUUAGCUAAUGUUGCCCGUACCGUAAACCGACACAGGUGGGUGGGAUGAGUAUUCUAAGGCGCGUGGAAGAACUCUCUUUAAGGAACUCUGCAAAAUAGCACCGUAUCUUCGGUAUAAGGUGUGGUUAGCUUUGUAUUAGGAUUUACUCCGAAAGCAAGGAAACUUACAACAAAGAGUCCCUCCCGACUGUUUACCAAAAACACAGCACUCUGCUAACUCGUAAGAGGAUGUAUAGGGUGUGACGCCUGCCCGGUGCUCGAAGGUUAAUUGAUGGGGUUAGCAUUAGCGAAGCUCUUGAUCGAAGCCCGAGUAAACGGCGGCCGUAACUAUAACGGUCCUAAGGUAGCGAAAUUCCUUGUCGGUUAAAUACCGACCUGCAUGAAUGGCGUAACGAGAUGGGAGCUGUCUCAAAGAGGGAUCCAGUGAAAUUGUAGUGGAGGUGAAAAUUCCUCCUACCCGCGGCAAGACGGAAAGACCCCGUGGACCUUUACUACAGCUUGACACUGCUACUUGGAUAAGAAUGUGCAGGAUAGGUGGGAGGCUUUGAGUAUAUGACGCCAGUUGUAUAUGAGCCAUUGUUGAGAUACCACUCUUUCUUAUUUGGGUAGCUAACCAGCUUGAGUUAUCCUCAAGUGGGACAAUGUCUGGUGGGUAGUUUGACUGGGGCGGUCGCCUCCCAAAUAAUAACGGAGGCUUACAAAGGUUGGCUCAGAACGGUUGGAAAUCGUUCGUAGAGUAUAAAGGUAUAAGCCAGCUUAACUGCAAGACAUACAAGUCAAGCAGAGACGAAAGUCGGUCUUAGUGAUCCGGUGGUUCUGUGUGGAAGGGCCAUCGCUCAAAGGAUAAAAGGUACCCCGGGGAUAACAGGCUGAUCUCCCCCAAGAGCUCACAUCGACGGGGAGGUUUGGCACCUCGAUGUCGGCUCAUCGCAUCCUGGGGCUGGAGCAGGUCCCAAGGGUAUGGCUGUUCGCCAUUUAAAGCGGUACGCGAGCUGGGUUCAGAACGUCGUGAGACAGUUCGGUCCCUAUCUGCCGUGGGCGUAAGAAGAUUGAAGAGAUUUGACCCUAGUACGAGAGGACCGGGUUGAACAAACCACUGGUGUAGCUGUUGUUCUGCCAAGAGCAUCGCAGCGUAGCUAAGUUUGGAAAGGAUAAACGCUGAAAGCAUCUAAGCGUGAAGCCAACUCUAAGAUGAAUCUUCUCUAAGCUCUCUAGAAGACUACUAGUUUGAUAGGCUGGGUGUGUAAUGGAUGAAAGUCCUUUAGCUGACCAGUACUAAUAGAGCGUUUGGCUUAUCUUU